Molecule: long non-coding RNA, 184 nt
Filed under: Oryctolagus cuniculus (rabbit)
Lineage: Eukaryota; Metazoa; Chordata; Mammalia; Lagomorpha; Leporidae
Description: lncRNA (ENSOCUG00000037030.1)
Source: RNAcentral
GUCUUUGGCGGCUGCUGGAAUGGGGAACGCCAGCCCUGAGGAUGAUGACAGGAAGGUGCGAAGGAGAGAAAAAAACCGAGUUGCUGCUCAGAGAAGUCGGAAGAAGCAGACCCAGAAGGCUGACAAACUCCACGAGCCCCAGUGUCCACAGGGCUCCAGUAGCACCAUCUGGCAACCAUCCCUU